AUCAGUUGAAAAUCACCUGUGGCUUUGACUCUGCAUGAGUGGACUUGGUGCCUAGAGCCAGCCUGGUCUCAGCUCAGCACCACUCUGGUGGGAGAGAGCUGUGUUUGAAGCCCAGGCACUGAAGCCA
Small nucleolar RNA from Suncus etruscus (white-toothed pygmy shrew), 127 nucleotides. RefSeq annotates it as small nucleolar RNA ACA64. The transcript has a single exon. Lineage: Eukaryota; Metazoa; Chordata; Mammalia; Eulipotyphla; Soricidae. The record is from RefSeq and is a predicted model, not a curated record.